This 499-nucleotide ribosomal RNA is filed under the name uncultured bacterium. Its description in RNAcentral is "partial 16S ribosomal RNA". It matches the Rfam family "Bacterial small subunit ribosomal RNA", at positions 29 to 507 of the family's 1533-position model. The record is from RNAcentral.
ACGCACGCUGGCGGCGUGCUUAACACCUGCCAGUCGAACGGGUCUGCCCUGUUUUUUGCGGGGUGGGUCAGUGGCGAACGGGUGAGUAACACGUGAGUAACCUGCCCCUCACUUCUGGAUAACCGCUUGAAAGGGUGGCUAAUACGGGGUGUUCUGGCUGUGCCGCAUGGUGUGGCUGGGAAAGAUUCACUUUUGUGGUGGUUUGGUGGGGGAUGGGCUCGCGGCCUAUCAGCUUGUUGGUGGGGUGAUGGCCUGCCAAGGCUUUGACGGGUAGCCGGCCUUGGCGGGUGGGCGGUCACACUGGGGCUGAGAUACGGCCCAGACUCCUGCGGGAGGCAGCAGUGGGGGGUAUUGCACAAUGGGCGGAAGCCUGAUGCAGCGACGUCGCGUGAGGGAUGGAGGCCUUCGGGUUGUGAACCUCUUUCGCCGGUGAAGAAGGUCCUGCUCUUUGGGGUGGGGUUGACGGUAGCCGGGUUAUGAAGCGCCGGCUAACUACGUG